Long non-coding RNA from Vidua macroura (Pin-tailed whydah), 169 nucleotides. RefSeq lists it as uncharacterized. The transcript has 3 exons. The record is from RefSeq and is a predicted model, not a curated record. NCBI's taxonomy places the organism in Eukaryota, Metazoa, Chordata, Aves, Passeriformes, Viduidae.
UUCUGAAGAUCUUUUAGGAUUUAUUGAAGUAAUUGUAGGAUUUAUUGAAGAUCUUUUAGGAUUUAUUGAAAUCUUUUAGGAUUUAUUGAAGUAAUUGUAGGAUUUAUUGAAGAUCUUUUAGGAUUUAUUGAAAUCUUUUAGGAUUUAUUGAAUCUCUUGUAGGAUUUAU